Molecule: long non-coding RNA, 579 nt
Filed under: Salmo salar (Atlantic salmon)
Lineage: Eukaryota; Metazoa; Chordata; Actinopteri; Salmoniformes; Salmonidae
Description: lncRNA (ENSSSAG00000091794.1)
Rfam family: Histone 3' UTR stem-loop (bases 143-188)
Source: RNAcentral
GUCUGCUGCUCUGCAGGAUGUUUCAAGGAUGGGGUCCAACAACGCAGCAAGAGAGGCAAUCCGUGUGCAGGAGAUCUACACCUCCUACUUCUUCAAAGAGGGUGCUGUUCCCUGGCAACACCAUAGACGUCACUAUGCACAACCAAAGGCUCUUUUAAGAGCCAUUCACAUUGCAAUAAGAGUAUUCUUCCAUUUACUGAGCUAUGUCAACUGCAGUUAUUCAAUUCACAGUUUCUCUCCCUUUGAUUUCUACUUCUCAGGUGAGGGUGCUGUUUAGUAAAGCAGGUUCAGGUGUAUAACUGUGGCUCCUUCCACCUUCAAAGAAUAGGCAAGAGGGCCAACCAUGGAGAAUAGUUAUAUCAGCUGUGUCGACGAACCCCUCCUGCAUCUGAACUGGCUACAUAGAGGGCACAGCAUGAACAGAGGUAUGUUUUGAUGUGAGAGGAUGCCAACCCCCAGUCCCAUCAUCACCACCUCACCUGCUUUUAAGAACCUUUGGGUCGACUAGAGACACUAUUAUGUAAUUGUGAUGAACUGAGAGAAUAUUUAUGUAGCACUGUGAUUCAUUAAUCAUGUGCU